UGGAGUCAUCCUCACACAUGUCACACACAGACAUGAGUGCUUCUAAUCUGAUCCUGGGGUUCCUGCUACUCUGGUUUACAGGUGCAAGAUGUGAAAUCAAAAUGACACAGUCUCCUGCCUCCCUAACUGCAUCUCUGGGAGAAAGUGUCACAAUUACAUGCCAGGCAAGUCAGGACAUAAACUGGUAUUUAUCAUGGUAUCAGCAGAAACCAGGAAAAUCUCCCAAGCUCCUCAUAUAUGGUGCAGAUGCCUUGGAAGAUGGGAUCCCAUCAAGGUUCAGUGGCAGUGGAUCUGGCACACAGUAUUCUCUCAACAUCAACAGCCUGCAGCCUGAAGAUGUUGCAAGCUAUUACUGUCAACAGUAUGAAAAUACUCCUCCCACAGUGAUUCAAGCCAUGACAUAA
Molecule: non-coding RNA, 404 nt
Organism: Mastomys coucha (southern multimammate mouse)
Lineage: Eukaryota; Metazoa; Chordata; Mammalia; Rodentia; Muridae
Source: the annotation of a RefSeq genome assembly